Molecule: long non-coding RNA, 236 nt
Filed under: Vigna radiata
Lineage: Eukaryota; Viridiplantae; Streptophyta; Magnoliopsida; Fabales; Fabaceae
Description: long non-coding RNA (VRAD_LNC007737)
Source: RNAcentral
UAACAUUCCCAAUCUAAACCCUUAUCCCCCACUUCGUAAAACCCAAAUUUGCAGUAUAUUCCAAUUUACAAAAACCCCUAAAUUGAAACCCUUAAUCGCGAGUCCUGUUGUCAAGAAACCGAUUGAGAACAGUGGGCUUCUUGUGUCGCGACGAAGUCGGAGAUUGAACCUCUGUGGAGGCGCCGCCUCUACAACCCUCUUUGCAAAACUCCAACAAACCCAUCAUUCAAUUUUUC